Molecule: long non-coding RNA, 1071 nt
Organism: Prinia subflava (tawny-flanked prinia)
Lineage: Eukaryota; Metazoa; Chordata; Aves; Passeriformes; Cisticolidae
Exons: 3
Source: RefSeq, a predicted model, not a curated record
AGUGCAUCUGAAGCUGCAAAUCACAUGCAGGCAUCAAGUGCCAAGUGAGCUCUGAAGUCAAAAUCACAGUGCUGGAAAGUGUCUUUUGUAAAACUGUUCACAUCUGCAGCCUCUACGAUGCUAAACACAGAAGGGAAAACUGAUUUUUGUAAAACCAUCAGGUGAUGUCCCAGAGCCAUCUGGUGAUGUACAGGGCAAAACAAGGACAAAGAUGCCCAAGCUGCUGCUGGGGACUGCUGGACACCACUCUUGCAGACAGAACUCUCCCCUUGGGAUGGCACCUCCUCUCUCCCCAGGGGUUGCCUGCACUUACACUUCAGUAUCCUGCUCCCUCAAUUUCUUGGCUGGAAAAAAAAGACAGUAGCACUUUCCUAACUCCCUCAAAGGCUGGUGCAAGGAUGAAUAAAGGCACAGAAAACCCUCUGAAUGCUUCAUCAUCUUAUAUGAACUCUAAAUAUCAGUAACACUCUUACCACGUGUUCAGUAUGCACUCAGCAACUUGCACUGUUAACAGUUCUGGAUGGAGGAGAGCAGAGCAGGAGGAGCUGCCUCCAGCAGUGGGGAUGACAGCCUAACACACUAGGUUUAGUAAUCUAUACCUCUUCAUAAACUUCUAUUGGUUAUCUAUUUUUGGAGAAUAAAGUUAUGCUAUUAAAGAAUAAAGCAUAACUUUGUUGUCUAAAAAUAGAUAACCAACAGAAAAUUCUGUUGGUUAUCUAUUGAAUGAAAAUUCGUCAUUUCAUCUGAAGAAAUGUCAAUUAUUCAUCUCAGAGUUGGUUGUUCUACUAUUUUUUUUCCAUUUGCAAAGAAGAUUUUAUAGUUUUGAUUGUUCACCAGAGUGAGAAAAAAGGGAAAGUUAUGCAGCUGACAUCAAACAUCUCCUCAUAUAAAGAAGUAUCUAUGAAGAUUUUUUUGUGACUUCUACAUUUCAUUUCUUAUGUGAUUUUAUUACAUUCAUAUAUAUUCUGUUUUGAUAAAUAGAAAACAGUUACAAAGUAAUUUGCUCUUUUAAUGAGACUAAUAAAUUUAUUUCCAUGUCUGUGAUGAUUUCAAUCAAUAAAAUAGUAUUCU